Molecule: ribosomal RNA, 484 nt
Filed under: uncultured bacterium
Lineage: Bacteria
Description: partial 16S ribosomal RNA
Rfam family: Bacterial small subunit ribosomal RNA
Source: RNAcentral
AUUGAACGCUGGCGGCGGGCCUAACACAUGCAAGUCGAGCGGAUGAAGGGAGCUUGCUCCUGGAUUCAGCGGCGGACGGGUGAGUAAUGCCUAGGAAUCUGCCUGGUAGUGGGGGAUAACGUCCGGAAACGGGCGCUAAUACCGCAUACGUCCUGAGGGAGAAAGUGGGGGAUCUUCGGACCUCACGCUAUCAGAUGAGCCUAGGUCGGAUUAGCUAGUUGGUGGGGUAAAGGCCUACCAAGGCGACGAUCCGUAAUUGGUCUGAGAGGAUGAUCAGUCACACUGGAACUGAGACACGGUCCAGACUCCUACGGGAGGCAGCAGUGGGGAAUAUUGGACAAUGGGCGAAAGCCUGAUCCAGCCAUGCCGCGUGUGUGAAGAAGGUCUUCGGAUUGUAAAGCACUUUAAGUUGGGAGGAAGGGCAGUAAGUUAAUACCUUGCUGUUUUGACGUUACCAACAGAAUAAGCACCGGCUAACUUCGUG